AUUGAACGCUGGCGGCAUGCUUUACACAUGCAAGUCGAACGGCAGCGCGGGCUUCGGCCUGGCGGCGAGUGGCGAACGGGUGAGUAAUUCAUCGGAACGUGCCCAGCCGUUGGGGAUAGCCCGGCGAAAGCCGGCUUAAUACCGCAUACGACCUGAGGGUGAAAGCGGGGGACCGAAAGGCCUCGCGCUAUUUGAGCGGCCGAUGUCGGAUUAGCUAGUUGGUUGGGUAAAGGCUUACCAAGGCGACGAUCCGUAGCUGGUCUGAGAGGACGACCAGCCACACUGGGACUGAGACACGGCCCAGACUCCUACGGGAGGCAGCAGUGGGGAAUUUUGGACAAUGGGGGCAACCCUGAUCCAGCCAUGCCGCGUGCGGGAAGAAGGCCUUCGGGUUGUAAACCGCUUUUGUUCGGGAAGAAAACCUCUGGGCUAAUACCCCGGGGGGAUGACGGUACCGGAAGAAUAAGCACCGGCUAACUACGUG
Molecule: ribosomal RNA, 484 nt
Filed under: uncultured bacterium
Lineage: Bacteria
Description: partial 16S ribosomal RNA
Rfam family: Bacterial small subunit ribosomal RNA
Source: RNAcentral